RNAcentral lists this ribosomal RNA (503 nucleotides) under uncultured bacterium. Its description in RNAcentral is "partial 16S ribosomal RNA". It matches the Rfam family "Bacterial small subunit ribosomal RNA", at positions 30 to 523 of the family's 1533-position model. The record is from RNAcentral.
AUUGAACGCUGGCGGCAGGCUUAACACAUGCAAGUCGAGCGGGGUGAUGGUGCUUGCACUAUCACUUAGCGGCGGACGGGUGAGUAAUGCUUAGGAAUCUGCCUAUUAGUGGGGGACAACAUCUCGAAAGGGAUGCUAAUACCGCAUACGUCCUACGGGAGAAAGCAGGGGAUCACUUGUGACCUUGCGCUAAUAGAUGAGCCUAAGUGGGAUUAGCUAGUUGGUGGGGUAAAGGCCUACCAAGGCGACGAUCUGUAGCGGGUCUGAGAGGAUGAUCCGCCACACUGGGACUGAGACACGGCCCAGACUCCUACGGGAGGCAGCAGUGGGGAAUAUUGGACAAUGGGGGGAACCCUGAUCCAGCCAUGCCGCGUGUGUGAGGAAGGCCUUAUGGUUGUAAAGCACUUUAAGCGAGGAGGAGGCUCUUUUGGUUAAUACCCAAGAUGAGUGGACGUUACUCGCAGAAUAAGCACCGGCUAACUCUGUGCCAGCAGCCGCCGCAG